Molecule: ribosomal RNA, 591 nt
Filed under: Triticum aestivum (bread wheat)
Lineage: Eukaryota; Viridiplantae; Streptophyta; Magnoliopsida; Poales; Poaceae
Description: partial small subunit ribosomal RNA
Source: RNAcentral
AUGGUGUACCAUAGCUUUGAUCAUGCGGUGGACAACCCUCACAACUACUACCCCUCUGAGUUCCUUAACACAUUGACCCCUAAUGGGCUUCCCCCACAUGUUUUGAAGCUCAAAAUUAAUUGCCCAGUUAUAUUACUCAGAAACAUUGACCCUGCAAACGGACUUCGCAAUGGCACGAGGCUGGUGGUUCGAGGAUUCCAAAGGAAUGUCAUCGAUGCAGAGAUUGUGUUGGGCCAACAUGUUGGAAAGAGGAUAUUCUUGUCAAGGAUCCCCCUUUGUCCCUUUGAUGAAGAGAUGUUCCCUUCUCAGUACAAGAGAAGCAAUUUCAUUAGGCUCAUCUUCGCCAUGACAAUUAACAAGGCAUAGGGGUAGACUAUACCGAACGCGGGUAUUUACAUGCCCGAGCCGGUGUUCUCCCACGAGCAAUUGUAUGUUGCGCUAUCUAGAUCCACAGCUAGAACGAACAUCAAGAUUCUUGUCAUUUCGGAUGCUGGUAAUAAGAAAAGGAGCUCAGAUGCAAAAACAAGCUCUGGUUGUCAUAUUGGUACGUACAGGAAGAACAUCGUAUAUAGAGAGAUCCUUACAUCAUAG